Small nuclear RNA from Dipodomys ordii (Ord's kangaroo rat), 134 nucleotides. Lineage: Eukaryota; Metazoa; Chordata; Mammalia; Rodentia; Heteromyidae. The record is from Ensembl.
AAAAAGGGCUUCUGCCAUGAGUGGCACACGUAGGGCAACUUGAUUGCUCUGCGGGCAGAAUCGACAUCAACGGAUUUUGGAGGCAUAAUUUUUUGGUACCUGGGCAGCUAGUGAUUGUUGGUCCCGGUGGGAGA